CUGCUCACGAUGCAACAUAUUUCCUGUUUGACCAGGAUUGGCAACUCCAACCCCCCUGGCCGGUGGGCCCGUGAAACCCCGCCAGCGGAGUGGUUGUGGCGAUCGGGCCGGUCGUCUACGAUGAUGCAGCUGGAGAAGAGGAAGACGAGGACGAAGAGGAGGCGUGUGUCAGCGCCAUGGACCUGUUGGGCAGCAACGAUUAUGGCAGUGACGGAGGAGAUUACGACGAUUGAUACCGGUCUUCCCUGGGUUAUUAUGCCGAACUAUUACCGACAGUUUUAAGUGUAUCAAAUGUUUUUCUACCGGGGACACAAAGUGGCUGCCGAGAGGAACCCCCGCCACGUGUGAGAGCAAGGGAAACAAAAAUCGCACUCCUCGUCCCACUUGGAGUCUCAAACUGGGAGCACGCGCAGCUGGGAGGCUGAAGACGGUGAAACGAGGGACGCAGGUAUAUUAAUCAUUGUGUGUCACAGGACACCUGUCACGGUAACGCAUCAGGAUCAAACGUUUGUUGAGGUCAGAAGACAUUCAGGUUAUUAACAGCAUUUAAAAGACUUUAUUUAAAUGUAAGGAUCUACUUCACACUGAAAUCUAGUUAUUUAAAUGCUGCUGACGCUAACAAACAUCACUUCUAACUUCUAAUGUCGUGCAAAACACCAAAGCAGUGAUUACGGAGCAGCAUUAAUCAGGACGGUUGUUUUUAUUGAGGUUUAAUGUAGCAAAAAGAAACGUAUUCUCCUCUAACUCGCACUUUGCAUUCAUGACACUUGAACGCUUCCUGAUGACUAAUGCUUCUCAAAGCUAGUAUCCUAACAACGACGUGCACUUGAUGCAUCCAACAAUCAGGUAACGUGAGAUCUUUAACCCGCCUCACUGCCCAGAUGUUGUGUUUAUUAACGCCUCAGUGCUGAGCGGAGCGCCGUCCGCUCUGCUCCACGUGUUACAAUAAUGUUGCCUUUAAACAAUUUAAGCAGGUUUGCUGAGAAGUUAUUGAAUCCCAGAUCCUUUCAGAUGAAGUUAGCGUUGGGGAUUGUGAUGGUUGGUUAUUUUUAAGGUUUUCCUCUUAUGAUUUAAUUUGAGUGUCCUUUUGAUUUGUGUUAAAUAUUGUUCACGGGCCACGGAGGCGUUUAAAGCCAGGAUGUAAAUACAUUCUCUGCAAUAUUAUAUUUUCCAAAUAAGUGAGGAGAACCCGAUCAGAGAAAAGAUCUAUUUUGUAUUUAAGAUUUUAUGAUUUUUGUGUGGAAAAUGAAAUGUGAGGCCUUUUCACUGUGUCUCUGUUCACCUCCGCUGCCUGCUGCUACAAGUCGUGAUGUUACAUCUGCACCUGCUGCUACAGUAAAGAAAUCA
RNAcentral lists this long non-coding RNA (1347 nucleotides) under Cottoperca gobio. RNAcentral describes it as "lncRNA (ENSCGOG00000015801.1)". Lineage: Eukaryota; Metazoa; Chordata; Actinopteri; Perciformes; Bovichtidae. The record is from RNAcentral.